CAGUCUGAUCCAGCCAUGCCGCGUGCAGGAUGACGGUCCUAUGGAUUGUAAACUGCUUUUGUACGAAAAAAAACAACAUUACGUGUAAUGUCUUGACGGUAUCGUAAGAAUAAGGAUCGGCUAACUCCGUGCCACCAACCGCGGUAAUACGGACGAUCCAAGCGUUAUCCGGAAUCAUUGGGUUUAAAGGGUCCGUAUGCGGUUUAAUAAGUCAGUGGUGAAAGCCCAUCGCUCAACGGUGGAACGGCCAUUGAUACUGCUGAACUUGAAUUAUUAGGAAGUAACUAGAAUAUGUAGUGUAGCGGUGAAAUGCUUAGAGAUUACAUGGAAUACCAAUUGCGAAGGCAGGUUACUACUAAUGGAUUGACGCUGAUGGACGAAAGCGUGGGUAGCGAACAGGAUUAGAUACCCUGGUAGUCCACGCCGUAGACGAUGGAUACUAGCUGUUGGGGGCAACUUCAGUGGCUAAACGAAAGUGAUAAGUAUCCCACCUGGGGAGUACGUUCGCAAGAAUGAAACUCAGAGGAAUUGACGGGGGCCCGCACAAGCGGUGGAGCAUGUGGUUUAAUUCGAUGAUACGCGAGGAACCUUACCAAGGCUUAAAUGUAGAUUGACCGAUUUGGAAACA
Molecule: ribosomal RNA, 628 nt
Filed under: Flavobacterium sp. So3Ps_834
Lineage: Bacteria; Pseudomonadati; Bacteroidota; Flavobacteriia; Flavobacteriales; Flavobacteriaceae
Description: bacterial SSU rRNA
Rfam family: Bacterial small subunit ribosomal RNA
Source: RNAcentral